GAAUAUUUAACUACAUGCAUAAGCUUUAAAGGAAUAGUCCAGUUAGACAGUGAGUGUGACUUGAUUUAUUGAUGGUGAACAUGUGUUAACUUACUCUUUCGAAGUUUUGAUGAUUGUAUUAUAGGGGAGAUGUCAUUAUACUUAAAAAAUCGUCAAAGAUAUUGAAUAUUUUUAUAUUUAUUUUAAUCUACCCGUGUAUGCACUGAUCUGGCCUAAAAUUUAGUAAGUAUCGGAAAUUAUAAAACAUAAAGGGAGUAACAACUUUAUGAACUGUAAGGUAAAUUGUGACAACCAAAGAAACCCCACGUACUACUUCUGUAGUGUAAGUCCUGCUCGAGAUAUCGGAACAUCUAACAAAGUCAAAAAUUGAUCCCUCACUGCUGCAUAUUCCUGACCGGCAAUUUCUACUCAAUCAAUUGACAGUUUUUGCCAAUCUCUCAUCAGUUGCAUGUUUCCACUGAAUUCAUCAGUUUAGAAACAUGUCUAUGAAUUGGGUUCAACGCAAAAUCUACUUGUACAAUGUCACAUUUGGACUAUACAUGCUCGACCCAUGGGAGCGUUAUUUGUUCAAUGCUUUGGUUGCUGUCUUGAUGUGGUUCAUCUUCUACAAUGGAUAUCGUAACAUAAAUGAGAUCUGCAAAAGGUAUGUUUGGUGAACCAUGAUUGUAGUCUGGACUAAAAGUGGACAGGGCUACCGUUCUUCUGCAAAUUUAUAUCUGGAUAUAGCAAACUAAGAAAGUUUUUCUUAUUUUUCGUUAGACUUAAACCUGCAAUGAACUGUAUUGUUGCCACUCACUUACCAACAGAGCUAAAAUGCCUUGUCAGGGUUUUAUGAACUUUUUUCCUGCUUGUUGUUUGUUUUUUUCCAUGGUCAUACAUUAGACUUGAAGUUUUAUUUUUCUUGUUGUAGCUUUGUCAAUGUAGUAAUAUCAUACAAUUUAUAUAUCAUUUGAAGUA
Erigeron canadensis is the source of this 957-nucleotide RNA transcript. It is a transcript of the gene named serine palmitoyltransferase small subunit A, with no coding region annotated. NCBI's taxonomy places the organism in Eukaryota, Viridiplantae, Streptophyta, Magnoliopsida, Asterales, Asteraceae. The transcript is spliced from 4 exons. The record is from RefSeq and is a predicted model, not a curated record.